GGGAUAACCUUGGGAAACUGGGGAUAAUACUAGAUAGGCAAUUAUUCCUGGAAUGGUUUUCUGUUUAAAUGUUUUUUCGCCUAAGGAUGGGUCUGCGGCCGAUUAGGUAGUUGGUUAGGUAACGGCUUACCAAGCCAUUGAUCGGUACGGGUUGUGAGAGCAAGAGCCCGGAGAUGGAACCUGAGACAAGGUUCCAGGCCCUACGGGGUGCAGCAGGCGCGAAACCUCCGCAAUGUGAGAAAUCGCGACGGGGGGAUCCCAAGUGCCAUUCUUAACGGGAUGGCUUUUCAUUAGUGUAAAGAGCUUUUGGAAUAAGGGCUGGGCAAGACCGGUGCCAGCCGCCGCGGUAACACCGGCAGCUCUAGUGGU
RNAcentral lists this ribosomal RNA (369 nucleotides) under uncultured archaeon. RNAcentral describes it as "bacterial SSU rRNA". It matches the Rfam family "Archaeal small subunit ribosomal RNA", at positions 123 to 492 of the family's 1478-position model. The record is from RNAcentral.